CUCCAGACUCCUACGGGAGGCAGCAGUGGGGAAUAUUGCACAAUGGGGGAAACCCUGAUGCAGCGACGCCGCGUGAGCGAAGAAGUACCUCGGUAUGUAAAGCUCUAUCAGCAGGGAAGAAGAUGACGGUACCUGACCAAGAAGCUCCGGCUAAAUACGUGCCAGCAGCCGCGGUAAUACGUAUGGAGCAAGCGUUAUCCGGAUUUACUGGGUGUAAAGGGGGCGCAGACGGCAAUGCAAGCCAGGAGUGAAAGCCCGGGGCCCAACCCCGGGACUGCUCUUGGAACUGCAUGGCUGGAGUACAGGAGGGGCAGGCGGAAUUCCUAGUGUAGCGGUGAAAUGCGUAGAUAUUAGGAGGAACACCGGUGGCGAAGGCGGCCUGCUGGACUGUGACUGACGUUGAGGCCCGAAGGCGUGGGGAGCAAACAGGAUUAGAUACCCCUGUA
Molecule: ribosomal RNA, 446 nt
Filed under: uncultured bacterium
Lineage: Bacteria
Description: partial 16S ribosomal RNA
Rfam family: Bacterial small subunit ribosomal RNA
Source: RNAcentral